This 468-nucleotide ribosomal RNA is filed under the name uncultured bacterium. Its description in RNAcentral is "partial 16S ribosomal RNA". It matches the Rfam family "Bacterial small subunit ribosomal RNA", at positions 28 to 507 of the family's 1533-position model. The record is from RNAcentral.
GACGAACGCUGGCGGCGUGCUUAACACAUGCAAGUCGAACGGAAAGGCCCUGCUUUUGUGGUGUGCUCGAGUGGCGAACGGGUGAGUAACACGUGAGUAACCUGCCCUUGACUUUGGGAUAACUUCAGGAAACUGGGGCUAAUACCGGAUAGGAGCUCCUGCUGCAUGGUGGGGGUUGGAAAGUUUCGGCGGUUGGGGAUGGACUCGCGGCUUAUCAGCUUGUUGGUGGGGUAGUGGCUUACCAAGGCUUUGACGGGUAGCCGGCCUGAGAGGGUGACCGGCCACAUUGGGACUGAGAGACGGCGCAGACUCCUACGGGAGGCAGCAGGGGGGAAUAUUGCACAAUGGGCGGAAGCCUGAGGCAGCAACGCCGCGUGCGGGAUGACGGCCUUCGGGUUGUAAACCGCUUUCGCCUGUGACGAAGCGGGAGUGACGGUAAUGGGUAAAGAAGCACCGGCUAACUACGUG